Molecule: unclassified non-coding RNA, 253 nt
Filed under: uncultured Gemmatimonadota bacterium
Lineage: Bacteria; Pseudomonadati; Gemmatimonadota
Description: uncultured Gemmatimonadetes bacterium contains 16S-23S intergenic spacer region
Rfam family: Bacterial small subunit ribosomal RNA
Source: RNAcentral
AACGGAGGGCGCAAGCGUUGUUCGGAAUCAUUGGGCGUAAAGUGCGCGCAGGCGGAAUGGGAAGUCGGUGGUGAAAGGCCGGGGCUCAACCCCGGAUGGGCCAUCGAAACUCCCCUUCUAGGGAUCGGUAGAGGUCGGUGGAAUUCCCGGAGUAGCGGUGGAAUGCGUAGAUAUCGGGAAGAACACCCGUGGCGAAGGCGACCGGCUGGGCCGAAUCCGACGCUGAGGCGCGAAAGCGUGGGGAGCAAACAGG